AGUUGGCUGGAGAGUCAAUGAAGAAGAUUGUGAAGAUGUUGAUGGCUGCAGCAGUGUCUGUGGUGCCUGCUUUCUUUGUCAAUUUGCCAUUGAUGUUGAUGAAGCAGGGGGAGAGGGUGCUCCAGAUGAUGAAGAAGUGGGAGAAGAAGAUGAGAGGAAAUGUCUUUCUUCAUUGAAUGUGCUGAAGGAUGAGUAGGUUGAUGAAAGAGAAGAGAUGUGAGAAGACAAAUGUGUUGUGAGAUAGACAUUUGUCUAUACCUCUGCACCCAAAAUGGGUGUCUGUAAUAUACAAGUACCAGAAGGAGUAUUGGGUGAGGAUGGCAGAGAGAAGAAAUGAGAGAGAUGAUGAAAGAAAGAAGAGAAAGUGAGAGAUGAAGAAUGAGAUGA
This 387-nucleotide small RNA is filed under the name Histoplasma ohiense. RNAcentral describes it as "hypothetical lncRNA". The record is from RNAcentral. Lineage: Eukaryota; Fungi; Ascomycota; Eurotiomycetes; Onygenales; Ajellomycetaceae.